RNAcentral lists this ribosomal RNA (1468 nucleotides) under metagenome. RNAcentral's name for it is "bacterial SSU rRNA". It matches the Rfam family "Bacterial small subunit ribosomal RNA". The record is from RNAcentral.
AGAGUUUGAUCAUGGCUCAGGACGAACGCUGGCGGCGCGCCUAACACAUGCAAGACGAACGAGCGAGAGAGAGCUUGCUUUCUCGAGCGAGUGGCAAACGGGUGAGUAACGCGUGAGGAACCUGCCUCAAAGAGGGGGACAACAGUUGGAAACGACUGCUAAUACCGCAUAAGCCCACGGCUCGGCAUCGAGCAGAGGGAAAAGGAGCAAUCCGCUUUGAGAUGGCCUCGCGUCCGAUUAGCUAGUUGGUGAGGUAACGGCCCACCAAGGCGACGAUCGGUAGCCGGACUGAGAGGUUGAACGGCCACAUUGGGACUGAGACACGGCCCAGACUCCUACGGGAGGCAGCAGUGGGGAAUAUUGCACAAUGGGGGAAACCCUGAUGCAGCGACGCCGCGUGGAGGAAGAAGGUCUUCGGAUUGUAAACUCCUGUUGUUGGGGAAGAUAAUGACGGUACCCAACAAGGAAGUGACGGCUAACUACGUGCCAGCAGCCGCGGUAAAACGUAGGUCACAAGCGUUGUCCGGAGUUACUGGGUGUAAAGGGAGCGCAGGCGGGAAGACAAGUUGGAAGUGAAAUCUAUGGGCUCAACCCAUAAACUGCUUUCAAAACUGUUUUUCUUGAGUAGUGCAGAGGUAGGCGGAAUUCCCGGUGUAGCGGUGGAAUGCGUAGAUAUCGGGAGGAACACCAGUGGCGAAGGCGGCCUACUGGGCACCAACUGACGCUGAGGCUCGAAAGUGUGGGUAGCAAACAGGAUUAGAUACCCUGGUAGUCCACACCGUAAACGAUGAUUACUAGGUGUUGGAGGAUUGACCCCUUCAGUGCCGCAGUUAACACAAUAAGUAAUCCACCUGGGGAGUACGACCGCAAGGUUGAAACUCAAAGGAAUUGACGGGGGCCCGCACAAGCAGUGGAGUAUGUGGUUUAAUUCGACGCAACGCGAAGAACCUUACCAAGUCUUGACAUCCCUUGACAGGCAUAGAAAUAUGUUUUCUCUUCGGAGCAAGGAGACAGGUGGUGCAUGGUUGUCGUCAGCUCGUGUCGUGAGAUGUUGGGUUAAGUCCCGCAACGAGCGCAACCCUUAUGGUCAGUUACUACGCAAGAGGACUCUGGCCAGACUGCCGUUGACAAAACGGAGGAAGGUGGGGAUGACGUCAAAUCAUCAUGCCCUUUAUGACCAGGGCUACACACGUGCUACAAUGGCGUAAACAAAGAGAAGCGAACUCGCGAGGGUAAGCAAAUCUCAAAAAUAACGUCUCAGUUCGGAUUGUAGUCUGCAACUCGACUACAUGAAGCUGGAAUCGCUAGUAAUCGCAGAUCAGAAUGCUGCGGUGAAUACGUUCCCGGGUCUUGUACACACCGCCCGUCACACCAUGGGAGUCAGUAACGCCCGAAGUCAGUGACCCAACCGUAAGGAGGGAGCUGCCGAAGGUGGGACCGAUAACUGGGGUGAAGUCGUAACAAGGUA